UGCUUGCACUCAGCGUUUUAAGUGCGAGUGGCGAACGGGUGAGUAACACGUGGGCAAUCUGCCCAAAAGAGGGGGAUAACACUUGGAAACAGGUGCUAAUACCGCAUAAACCAACUGAUCGCAUGAUCGGUUGGGCAAAGAUGGUUCUGCUAUCGCUUUUGGAUGAGCCCGCGGCGUAUUAACUAGUUGGUAAGGUAACGGCUUACCAAGGUGAUGAUACGUAGCCGAACUGAGAGGUUGAUCGGCCACAUUGGGACUGAGACACGGCCCAAACUCCUACGGGAGGCAGCAGUAGGGAAUCUUCCACAAUGGACGAAAGUCUGAUGGAGCAACGCCGCGUGUGUGAAGAAGGUCUUCGGAUCGUAAAACACUGUUGUUAGAGAAGAACACGGAGUAAAGUAACUGUUAUUCCGCUGACGGUAUCUAACCAGCAAGUCACGGCUAACUACGUGCCAGCAGCCGCGGUAAUACGUAGGUGGCAAGCGUUGUCCGGAUUUAUUGGGCGUAAAGGGAACGCAGGCGGUCUUUUAAGUCUGAUGUGAAAGCCUUCGGCUUAACCGAAGAAGUGCAUUGGAAACUGGAAGACUUGAGUGCAGAAGAGGAGAGUGGAACUCCAUGUGUAGCGGUGAAAUGCGUA
Molecule: ribosomal RNA, 637 nt
Filed under: Lactobacillus sp.
Lineage: Bacteria; Bacillati; Bacillota; Bacilli; Lactobacillales; Lactobacillaceae
Description: bacterial SSU rRNA
Rfam family: Bacterial small subunit ribosomal RNA
Source: RNAcentral